This 370-nucleotide ribosomal RNA is filed under the name Phyto cingulata. RNAcentral describes it as "partial 16S ribosomal RNA". Lineage: Eukaryota; Metazoa; Arthropoda; Insecta; Diptera; Rhinophoridae. The record is from RNAcentral.
UCGAAGGUAGCAUAAUCAGUAGUCUUUUAAUUGAAGGCUGGUAUGAAUGGUUGAACGAAAUAUUAACUGUUUCAUUAAAAUUUAUAAUAGAAUUUUAUUUUUUAGUCAAAAAGCUAAAAUAUUAUUUAAAGACGAGAAGACCCUAUAAAUCUUUAUAUUUAAUUUAUUAUAAUUUUUUAGAUAAUUUUUAUUAUAAUAAUAAAUAAUAUUUUAUUGGGGUGAUAUUAAAAUUUAAUAAACUUUUAAUUAUUAAAAUCAUUAAUUUAUGAAUAAUUGAUCCAUUUUUAAUGAUUAAAAAAAUAAGUUACUUUAGGGAUAACAGCGUAAUUUUUUUGGAGAGUUCUUAUCAAUAAAAAAGAUUGCGACCUCG